Molecule: ribosomal RNA, 253 nt
Filed under: uncultured bacterium
Lineage: Bacteria
Description: partial 16S ribosomal RNA
Rfam family: Bacterial small subunit ribosomal RNA
Source: RNAcentral
UACGUAGGGUGCGAGCGUUAAUCGGAAUUACUGGGCGUAAAGAGCUCGUAGGCGGUCUGUCGCGUCUGGUGUGAAAAUCCAGGGCUUAACCCUGGACCUGCAUCGGGUACGGGCAGACUAGAGUGCGGUAGGGGAGAUCGGAAUUCCUGGUGUAGCGGUGAAAUGCGCAGAUAUCAGGAGGAACACCGGUGGCGAAGGCGGAUCUCUGGGCCGUAACUGACGCUGAGGAGCGAAAGCAUGGGGAGCGAACAGG